AGACAGGAAGCAUGAGGGCAGGCUCAUCAGUGUCAGAGCAGGGGAGACCAGCACAGACACCUUACAAGCAGAAUGACCUUCUGUGGCUACAGAGAAAGGCUUCAGGCAAAGAGAUGCAGCUCUGGGCCCCAGAGUCCGCUGGAGCACACUGAAGCUGGAGCACACUGACGUGGAAGAUGGGGCUGCAGACAGAGACUGGGCAGCCUCUGCUCCAGGGAGGCCCGAGAGCCAGAGAGCAGAUUCCAUAAGAAGAAUAACUCCCGUUCCUCAUGCAUGAGACCCUCUGCUAAAUCCUUCCUGUGUACCACCUCCAGAAAUCCUCCCAAGCCAGGACACCAGCAGUAUUACAGGUAAGAAAACGGAGGCUCCCAGAGAUUUGACAACCUGCCCGCAGCAAUGACCAAAUCAGACUUAGUGCUAAGUCUGCACCUCCCCAAAGUCAGUGUGUUUGUGCGCUCUGCUGCCACUGCCACCCGCUGGCCCUGCACUUGAUGUGAACCAUCAGGCAGACCUGGAGUUCUGUCUCCUGGGUGGGCUGCUUGCCAACACCAGGGUGGCCGGCCCCUGCCUGUGUCAGGUCCUGCAGUGUUGACUCUCUUCGUGUGAUGUUGGGCAGGUGGAGCUGGUUGUGCUGAGCCUGAGGAAACAUCCAAUGUGCCAAACUUU
Gorilla gorilla gorilla (western lowland gorilla) is the source of this 666-nucleotide long non-coding RNA. RefSeq lists it as uncharacterized. The transcript has 3 exons. The record is from RefSeq and is a predicted model, not a curated record. Lineage: Eukaryota; Metazoa; Chordata; Mammalia; Primates; Hominidae.